AGUGAACGCUGGCGGUAGGCCUAACACAUGCAAGUCGAACGGCAGCACAGUAAGAGCUUGCUCUUACGGGUGGCGAGUGGCGGACGGGUGAGGAAUACAUCGGAAUCUACUUUUUCGUGGGGGAUAACGUAGGGAAACUUACGCUAAUACCGCAUACGACCUACGGGUGAAAGCAGGGGAUCUUCGGACCUUGCGCGAUUGAAUGAGCCGAUGUCGGAUUAGCUAGUUGGCGGGGUAAAGGCCCACCAAGGCGACGAUCCGUAGCUGGUCUGAGAGGAUGAUCAGCCACACUGGAACUGAGACACGGUCCAGGCUCCUACGGGAGGCAGCAGUGGGGAAUAUUGGACAAUGGGCGCAAGCCUGGUCCAGCCAUACCGCGUGGGUGGAGAAAGCCUUCGGGUUGUAAAGCCCUUUUGUUGGGAAAGAAAAGCAGCAGGUUAAUACCCCGCUGUUCUGACGGUACCCAAAGAAUAAGCACCGGCUAACUUCGUG
This 492-nucleotide ribosomal RNA is filed under the name uncultured bacterium. RNAcentral describes it as "partial 16S ribosomal RNA". It matches the Rfam family "Bacterial small subunit ribosomal RNA", at positions 29 to 507 of the family's 1533-position model. The record is from RNAcentral.